GGGUCAGUAGGUUGGUCGUGCCACCGGUACGUACUGGUCUCACUGAUUCCUCAUUCCUGAAGAACCGUAAUGCCAUUAAUUUGGUGUUGCGGGGAAACAGGACUGUUACUUUGAAAAAAUUAGAGUGUUUAAAGCAAGCUAACGCUUGAAUACAUUAGCAUGGAAUAACGAAAUAGGACGAUCGAUCCUAUUUUGUUGGUUUCUAGGAUUGACGUA
This 216-nucleotide ribosomal RNA is filed under the name Glomeromycotina sp. RNAcentral describes it as "partial small subunit ribosomal RNA". The stretch from base 40 to 216 matches the Rfam family "Eukaryotic small subunit ribosomal RNA", at positions 686 to 864 of the family's 1831-position model. Lineage: Eukaryota; Fungi; Glomeromycota. The record is from RNAcentral.